RNAcentral lists this ribosomal RNA (253 nucleotides) under uncultured bacterium. RNAcentral's name for it is "partial 16S ribosomal RNA". It matches the Rfam family "Bacterial small subunit ribosomal RNA", at positions 524 to 776 of the family's 1533-position model. The record is from RNAcentral.
UACAGAGGUCUCAAGCGUUGUUCGGAUUCAUUGGGCGUAAAGGGUGCGUAGGCGGUGGGGCAAGUCAGGUGUGAAAUUUCGGAGCUUAACUCCGAAACUGCAUUUGAUACUGCGGUGCUUGAGGACUGGAGAGGAGAUUGGAAUUCACGGUGUAGCAGUGAAAUGCGUAGAUAUCGUGAGGAAGACCAGUGGCGAAGGCGGAUCUCUGGACAGUUCCUGACGCUGAGGCGCGAAGGCCAGGGGAGCAAACGGG